GAUUACAAUUACAAUGACUUCAACUUGACCGACCCUGUCGACUUCAACUUGACGGAUCUUGACUACAGCCAUGACUAUAUCGAAUUCAGCACUGACCUUGUCCACACUUCUUUUAAAGAGGAUGAGUCCAAUUUCAGGAACAAGGCCUCACGGAUUGGUCAGCUGAAGCUCGUGUUCCUGCUGGGAUUGGCUGUCCUUCAGAUGUGGAAUUGACAAAGAUCAUGGUGACGAUAACACGGUCAUCAAUGAUUCGUUUUAGUUAAAAUUACAUUACAACAUAAUGUCACGUUAUGCUGUAAUGACACAGGACCGAAAAUGGAACAAAAACCAACAUCGUCCACUUAUUGGCUAAAACUGUAAUAAA
Long non-coding RNA from Pundamilia nyererei, 364 nucleotides. RefSeq lists it as uncharacterized. The transcript has 3 exons. NCBI's taxonomy places the organism in Eukaryota, Metazoa, Chordata, Actinopteri, Cichliformes, Cichlidae. The record is from RefSeq and is a predicted model, not a curated record.